This is an RNA transcript of Nerophis lumbriciformis (worm pipefish), 5278 nucleotides long. It is a transcript of the gene named serine threonine kinase 39, with no coding region annotated. Lineage: Eukaryota; Metazoa; Chordata; Actinopteri; Syngnathiformes; Syngnathidae. The record is from RefSeq and is a predicted model, not a curated record.
UAAAACAAGUUAAAUGUGAAUGUUGGUUUAACCUGCUAACUUGAAAAGGGACUUUCUAAAUGCUAAAAGGGAUAUCCUGCUGUGGUGCGAAGUAAUUAUUUAAGUUAAGAAAGUGCUUGUAUGAUACAAGGUGAUAUCAUUGCAAAGCUUAUCUUAAAUUAAUUGCUUGUUUUGGUUUUGGCAAUUUAAAAGAGCACAUCAAGGUAUUUAAAAGGCACAUUUAUAAUACAUUUUUGAUAUUGAAAUGUAUGUGUGUUUUAUAACAAGUGGAAGAAGAUAAACUUUAACUAAAAAUACUGUCAUAAUACACAAACUUUAUUUUUUAAAGAAAAAGCAAACCUAAACAUAUCUAAGUUGACAGUUAGCCUACAUUUAAAUUUUUAUUCAACUACAGUUAAUACAUUUUCAUCCAAACUUUCAAGUUGGCUAAUAUUCAAACCAAAUCAAGCUAAAACACAAAAUCAAUAGGCUAGCAACAUGUCUGACCAAGAACGAAUGGACACUCGACACGCUGUGGUGUUGCUGCAAGAAGAUCCUGGAGAAGUUGUGAUCCCAAAUCCCCAUGAGCCGAGCACAAGUCAAGCAGUGAAAGAAGAGGGCUUAAGGAAAAGUACAAGACCCAGAAAGCUCACUGAGAAAGGCCAAGCGUUUCAUGAGGAAAUGGUGAGCAAGCUUCAAGCUCGAUUCAACGCCAGUUAUGAAAAAUGGAAAUCUACUGCCAAACAAGCAAAAAGAGCACUUGACGCAUCUGAUAUAGCAAGCUUGCGCGAUCACAUUGCUCGUAUACAAGAAACUUCUGGUGAAGUCAUGCAAGCAUAUGAAGAACUACGUAGUCAUGAAACUCCUGAUGGAAACACUCACCGCAGAGUUGACACAUGUGAUGCAGUUUCUCAGAAGGUUUUCCAACAAGCACAAGAGAAUCUUGCAGCAGAAGAAGAUGAGCGAGAUCAAGACAAGAGGUCAUUUCACUGGAGUGAAACUCGCUCAGCGUUUAUUUUAGCAUCGUUGCAAAGAUCCAAAAACUCAAGUAGUCGACGUUCAAGUCAGCUGUCUGCAAAAAGGCAAGACGCAGCAGCAGAAGUAGCUGCAGCUGAAGCCACUCUGUUGGUCUUAGAAGAAAUGGAACGUGGCAAAAGUGAACUCGAAAUGCUUGAGAAAGAAAUGGAACGAAAGAAGAGGGAGCUUGAACGCUUGGAAACGGUAAAGCAAAUGAAUGCUGCAAAAGCGCGACUGGAAGUGUAUGAACAAGAAGGCAACUCAGAUGAGGAAUUGUCAGAUCUUCUGCAUGGAAGGAGCACACCAAAAAAUCUACCAUCCAAGCCUAUAAGACAUUCUGAAGUGAAAAUUGAAUAUUCAGGUUGCAAUCCAUAUGCACAACCAUUCAUACCAAAAGACACCACAAGAGGGCAACCUGCUAGCAAUAAAACACCAGAAGAUGGCAUAACAGCACUGGCUACAUCAACAUUUGCCGUCUACCGGUUCCAGAGCCCGCAGUUUUCAAUGGAGAUCCCAUCAAGUACAAGGAUUGGAAAAUGUCUUUUCAAUUACUGAUUGAAAGAAAGACCAUCCCAGUGGCUGAAAAGAUCUACUACCUCCGAAAGUAUGUUGGCGGUCCUGCGAGAAAGGCAGUUGAAAGCUACUUUCUGCUCGGAACAGAAAUGGCAUACCGUACAGCUUGGAACACUCUGGAAGAAAGAUAUGGUAGUCCAUUUGUAAUCGCCAAAGCUUUCAGAGAUAAUCUCUCAGCAUGGCCAAGAAUUGGAACCAAGGAUAAUGUGGAACUAAGAGAGUUCUCAGACUUUCUCAAAGGUUGCGAAGUGGCAAUGCUACAGAUAAAGAGUCUUCAAAUUUUAAAUGACUGCUAUGAGAACCAGAGAAUGCUCAGCAAGCUUCCUGAUUGGCUUACGGCAAGAUGGAAUCGUAAAGUAGUUGAGAUUGAAGAUCAGUGUGGUUCAUUUCCUACAUUCAGCCAUUUUGUCAACUUUGUAGAAAAGGAAGCCAGGAUCGCGUGCAACCCAGUGACAUCUCUAAGUGCUCUCAAGGCAAACGAUUCAGAGAAAGAGAAAGCGAAAACUCCAAUGACUCGGAAUGUUGGAGCAAGGACAUUGAUAAGCAGUACGGAGGAGAAAACCGAUACACUGAAGUGUGAAUUCUGUGAAAGGUCAAAUCACAACAUUCUGACAUGUCGAAAGUUCAUGGAGAAGGAGAACGCUGCAAAGGUGCAAUUUGUAAAAGACAAGGGAUUGUGUUUUGGUUGUCUUAAAUCUGGACACAUCUCAAAGAAAUGCGAAAAGAGAAGUACCUGCAACACAUGUAAGGGGAAACACCCAACAUGCUUACAUGAAGAACGAGACAAAGAGUCAAGAAAGAAUAAGGACAUCCAAAGAGAAACAAAGGGGACAAGUGAGUCAAAGGAAACCAAACAAACUAAGGAACCAAGUCAAGAAACACCAAAUGAGGCUAUCUCAAACCGUGUUAUCCAAAGUGACAAUAUGACCUCACAUCCACAAUUGUUCCAGUGUGGUUGUCCACAAAAAGUAAUCCAGAAAAAGAACUAUUGCUUUACGUUCUUUUAGACAGUCAGAGUGACACAACAUUUGUUCUGCAAGAAAAGGCAGAUGUUUUGGACACAGACAAGAAAGAUGUGCAGUUAAAGCUCUCCACACUGUCAUCCAAAGACACAGUCGUUUCUAGUCAAAAGCUGACAGAUCUACAAGUCAGAGGCUUCUACUCGUCAAAGAGAAUCCCUCUUCCCAUGACAUAUACAAGAGAGUUUAUCCCUGCCAAUCUACGUCACAUUCCCACUCCGAACGCAGCAAGAGCAUGGUCUCACUUAGAGCACCUCGCUGAUGAGAUCGCCCCUCUAAUUGAAUGCGAUGUUGGUCUGCUAAUAGGGUACAACUGUUCACAAGCUCUGGUACCCAGAGAAGUCGUGUCAGGAAGAGACAAUGAGCCCUUUGCUCAGAAAACAGAUCUUGGCUGGACCAUAGUUGGAGGACUUGAUCCAUGUGUUGACUAUGGAGAUGCAAUUGGAUGCAGCCACAGGAUUGUUGUCAAGGAAGUGACACCCAAUUCACCAUCUGAUCAGUUGUUGAAGGAAGUGCACUACAUUUGUCGCACCCAAGUCAAAGAAGUGAUUACACCAUUGGAUGUGAUUAAAGUGCUUGAGUCUGAUUUCAACGAAAGAAAAGUGGAAGACUCUCAUUUCUCCCAAGAAGACUUGCGGUUCAUUUCAAUAAUGGAAAGAGGAGUGAAAAUGCAAGAAGAUGGUCAUUGUGAACUACCUUUGCCUUUCAAACAAGACAGAACAAACUUACAGAACAACAAGAAAUGUGCAGAACAUCGACUCAAGUGUUUGAAGAAAAGAUUUGAAAGAGACAAACAGUAUCACAAAGACUACAUGAAGUUCAUGAAUGAAACAAUAGAGCGCGGAGGUGCAGAAAAGGUGCCUCCUGAAGAACUGGACAAAGGUCCUGCCUGGUACAUUCCACAUCAUGGGGUGUACGAUCCCCAAAAGCCCGGAAAAAUAAGAGUGGUCUUCGAUUGUUCGGUGAAGUAUGAAGGAGUCUUGUUGAAUGAUUACUUUUUGACCGGACCAGAAUUGACCAACAAGCUGGUGGGGGUCUUGUGCAAAUUUCGGAAUGGCCCAGGAGCAAUCCAUUGCUCUAUUGUAUUCGCGAAGUCCAGAGUAGCAUCUACCAAAGUCACUGCAGUGCGUACAAGUGACAUGCUCAAUGCAGAGUUGGAGCUGAAUGUUGAAGAAUUCUUCUGGACAGAUUCACAAGUAGUCUUGGGAUAUGUCAACAAUGAGGCAAGACGCUUUCAUGUGUUCGUAGCGAACCGCAUCCAAUGUAUCAGAGAGAGUACCAAACCCACACAGUGGAAAUAUGUUGCAUCAGAGGACAAUCCUGCAGACCAUGCGUCGCGUGGACUCAAGGCCAAAGAACUAAUCGCCUCAAACUGGUUCAGUGGGCCAAGUCUUCUAUGGCAAGAAGAGCUACCCAGUGGAGAGUGCAAGGUGGGAGAACUUGACGCAAGAGACUCAGAAGUACGCAAAGCUGUCGUACACCGCACACUCAAGGUGGUUUCUCUGGAAGAACGUUUUGAGAAGUUCUUCAGCUGGUCGAGAUUUGUCAAAGCUAUUGCAAGGCUCACCAGAUUUGUGAAGGAAGACCUAUACCUACGCAAGAGAUGGCGUAGAGUGCAAUAUCUCGCCAAUGAGUUCUGGCGAAGAUGGAGAAAGGAAUACUUGUUGAACCUACAGCAAAGACAGAAAUGCCAGAAGACAAGAAGGAAUGCCAAAGUCAAUGAUAAAGUGCUCAUACAAGAUGACACAGCACCCAGAAACGAUUGGAAACUCGCUAAGGUCACUGCAGUGUAUCCAAGUGAAGAUGGAUGUGUGCGCAAAGUGCAGCUUCUAAUCAGUGACUCUACAUUAGAUGACCAUGGCACACGACUCAACAAGAAGACACACUUGGACAGACCUAUCCACAAGACAGUUACACUGUUAGAAGCAGAAUAGACCCACACUAGUCUGAAAAGGGAAAACACAUUAGAUUUGGUGGGAGUGUAGCUGCUGACAGAAGCACAUUGUAUAUAUGUUAUAUAAUUUCAUAGUUGGUUAAAGUAAAUAAAUACAAUGUAUAAAUAUAAGUUCAUAUUUACAUUUAAUGUGAUUAAAAAUGUAUUUUCUUUGGUAAUUUCAUGCAAGUAUAAGUUAACUUUAUUUUUGUUACAAAACUCAUGUAAAUUGGAGAGGAACAUAUUUUUUGUUCCGGUUUGGUCACAUUGUUGGGGGGACAAUUAAUAUGUGACGGAAAAAAGGGAAGCAGCAUGAGACAGCAAAUGGAAGAGAUUAAUGGAGUCUCGGCUUGGAAAGAAACUUUAUUCCCUCUGAGUUUGUGAGGCCAAUGAGGUAUGAUUCUUUUUGAUAUGUAUGUGAAAUCAAUGUGUUUUAUGUUAUUGGAUGUCAGACUAAUUGUAAGUUCUGUUUUUUCUUAUUUAUUAGUUCUGACGGCAUUAUUUUGGCAUUGUGUUGGCAUCGUUGUGACGAGGAGAAGGCGUGGCUGAAAAUAAAUGUCUGUUUGAGAAAAACGAACAACUUGAGCCUUGAUUAAGACCUCGGAGGGAGUAACAAUCGGAACUCCAAAAAGGAACUGAACGACAUUCGCUUUGAAUUCACUCCAGGACGAGACACUGCUGAUGGUGUUUCCCAAGAAUUAUUCUCCGCCGGUCUUGUCCACGGACUUGAUGUUGGAACUGUGGCUGCUAACCUUCA